UACCAUUUCACCACAGAUCUCCAUGGAGAA
Molecule: non-coding RNA, 30 nt
Filed under: Mus musculus (house mouse)
Lineage: Eukaryota; Metazoa; Chordata; Mammalia; Rodentia; Muridae
Source: RNAcentral